AAACAACAAAUGUUUUAUUGGAUGAGUAGUAUUAACCAGAUUUGUAGCUGAACAUUGCUUGCAUGCAGAUAUUGCAGAUGUAUCGCUUCUGGGCACAAAAAAGCAUGGUAGGAUCACAAGUCUUAUCUACAAACUCAGAAAUUUCAGGUAAGUAGGAUAAAGUGUUUUCUGAAAGGAAUUUAAGCAGCUAGUAACUGGUGAAGAGGAGAUGUCAACUGUUUAUGAGAGGGUUAAAAGUUUUCCAUAGAGUUCAUGCUGGUUAUAGUACUAAAUGUUGAUUAGAACUCCAGGGACUGUACUCCCACUAGCUGCUGGAGCUGGAAACAGCAUGUAAAACAGCAUGUCAGAUAAAUAGCUCGGGGCAUAGGAAAGGAACAGCCAAAAGAACUUUGCAUCCCAUCCAGCUGCAUAUCGUGUCCUGGGGUACUUUGCUAACAGGGCAUGUUCCAUGCAUUUUAUUACCUUAGAAAUAUCAGAGUUGCACAGUCUUUUCACUGAUGAUCUUUGAGCUUUUCUAUCUACAAAGAAGAAAACAAACUGGAAGUAUGUAUACAACAUUCUUUGUGAGAGAAUUGUUUUCAUUUACAGGUUUUUCUACAGCUUCUGUAGAUUUAUAAUAAGGGUUGCCUUAAACUGCUGGCUCAAGUACAGUGGGUGGCAUAGCUGUAGCAGAGCAGAGACAAGCAAGUGCUGCAGAAUCCAAAGAACCAGAGCUUUAGAUAAAUAGCGACGCUUCUGGAAGGUCAGCCUGUGCCUGGAGGGAGAGGCCGAAGGUUCAGCACUGCUUCUGUAAAGAGCUUCUCAGAAGGAGGUGACAGCAGUGGUUACCCUGACCAGGAACGUGCCGCUUUCUACAGCCUGGACGCAGAGGCCUGUGCAGGAUCAGCCUCUCAGAGAAGCUGCUAGCAAAUUCCAGGUGCACUCAUAAAUAGGAGAUUAGGUUCAUCCUGCAGAGACAUCUCAAUUCCCUUGAGUGGAAUC
This 981-nucleotide long non-coding RNA is filed under the name Gallus gallus (chicken). Its description in RNAcentral is "long non-coding RNA NONGGAT008551". Lineage: Eukaryota; Metazoa; Chordata; Aves; Galliformes; Phasianidae. The record is from RNAcentral.